GAUGAAGAACGUAGCGAAAUGCGAUAACUAAUGUGAAUUGCAGAAUUCCGUGAAUCAUCGAAUCUUUGAACGCACAUUGCGCCCUUUGGUAUUCCUUAGGGCAUGCCUGUUCGAGCGUCAUUUAAACCUUCAAGCUAAGCUUGGUGUUGGGUGACUGUCCGCUUCACGGCGGACUCGCCUCAAAAUUAUUGGCGGCCGGUACAUUGGCUUCGAGCGCAGCAGAAACGCGAACUCGGGCCCGUCGUAUUGGCUCCCAGAAGCUAUCUUCACAAUUUUGACCUCGGAUCAGGUAGGGAUACCCGCUGAACUUAAGCAUAUCAAUAAGCGGAGGA
Molecule: unclassified non-coding RNA, 332 nt
Filed under: soil metagenome
Description: partial contains 5.8S ribosomal RNA, internal transcribed spacer 2, and large subunit ribosomal RNA
Rfam family: 5.8S ribosomal RNA (bases 1-120)
Source: RNAcentral